Molecule: long non-coding RNA, 1210 nt
Filed under: Equus asinus (donkey)
Lineage: Eukaryota; Metazoa; Chordata; Mammalia; Perissodactyla; Equidae
Description: lncRNA (ENSEASG00005037144.1)
Source: RNAcentral
CUGGUGUCGGCCCUGAGGAGACUCCGAGUACAUGAGAGCUGCUUUCUGAACGUUAGUAGAUAAAGAAUGCACCUUUGAUCAGAGGCCCCGACCCUGGAGUCAGGUAAGUAGGUGAAUGUCCAAAGGCUCUGAUGUUCUCCCCAGAAAAGAAAUUCUGUUUUAAUUUAGAGGACAUUUAUUCCAAUCUUCUAGUUAUUUUAAUUCGGGUAAAAUGUCCUUAGUCAUUUUCUUUAACCCAAGAGUGUUAAAAAAAUUAUUUUUUUUUUGCUUCUUUACAUGUUGAAUAAUUUAAGGAAGCUUUGAAAUGGACAGCUUUUGUUCUAAACAAGGACACAUCCCCAUCUGUCUGACUACCCUUUACGUCACACUGUCCCCUACCCCUUCGUUAGUACCACAGGGACCUCGGAGCAUCUUAAAGCUGAUCUCUGAGUCACAGUCAUGGUCCUGUCACAAGGUUAACUCAGAGCUUCUGCUAAGUCUGAAGGGGGCAAGGCUGAUACUCCCGUUCUCCUGCAAGACAGCAGUGUGCUCUGGCCCCUAGCUGGCACAGGAGAGCUGCUGGGCUCAGGCUGCCAGAAACUCCCGGGCUAACAUCCAGCAUCUGCAGCGCACCAAGCUGCCUAACACCCACCAGCUGUCCCAGUUAGUCCACAUCACAGACGAUGGGGAAGCAGUGGGAUGCCGCACCCAGGGCGCAGUGUAAUCCCAUCCAAAGACAAAUUCUAGAAAAAACUUCCCCUUAGACUGCGAGAAUAAAGGUUCUUACAACCAUGACUGUGUUUUUCUAUCUUGACGUCUUCAGCACUCACUGUAGUCCCUGGAGCAAAAUAGCUAAUUUUUGUUGCCAUAUUAAACUGAGCCAUUUCAUAGAGGCUCUAUGUACUGCAGUGACAAAAAUCUUUAGGCUAUGUCAUUAAAUGAAAAUAGAACAGUGUUUAGCAUGCAAAAUUUUGCUUAAUAAAAGGGAGAAAUAGGGGCCAGUCCGGUGGCGCAGCAGUUGAGUUCCCAUGUUCUUCUUCAGCGGCCUGGAGUUCGUAGGUUCAGAUCCUGGGUGUGGACAUAUGCACUGCUUAUCGAGCCAUGCUGUGGCAGGCGUCCCACAUAUAAAGUAGAGGAAGAUGGGCACAGAUGUUAGCUCAGGGCCCAUUUUCCUCAGCAAAAAGAGGAGGAUUGGUAGCAGAUGUUAGCUCCAGGCUAAUCUUCCUCAAAA